RNAcentral lists this ribosomal RNA (384 nucleotides) under Triticum aestivum (bread wheat). Its description in RNAcentral is "partial small subunit ribosomal RNA". The record is from RNAcentral. Lineage: Eukaryota; Viridiplantae; Streptophyta; Magnoliopsida; Poales; Poaceae.
AUGCCCAAUGGGGCCCAAGCUCCGAGUGAGGAGGGUGAGGCGAGUGGGGGCGAGAGCCAGGGAGAGGAGGAAUGGGACUCGGACAUUGCAGAGGAUGAUGACGACGAUGAUGAUGACGACGGUGAUGAAAAUGACGUUGAGGACGAGGAAGAAGAGGAGGAGGAGGUCGUACCACCGCGUUCAGAAAGGCGGUCGAAGCUUGUCCACGACCCUUUGACUGAACGUGGCAAGGGGGUUGUGACCGUUGCCCAGUCGACCAAACGCCCUCGGACCACCUCUCCGGUGCCGACUGAAAAGGCGCCGAAGCAGCCCAGGGCGGCCUCGUCGAAGCCGACCAAGCUCCUGCCGAAGAUGAAGGUGUCCAUCCCCACCAUAUCAGGGUAA